This 72-nucleotide transfer RNA is filed under the name Candidatus Dormiibacterota bacterium. RNAcentral's name for it is "tRNA-Pro". It matches the Rfam family "tRNA". Rfam says of the family: Transfer RNA (tRNA) molecules are approximately 80 nucleotides in length. Their secondary structure includes four short double-helical elements and three loops (D, anti-codon, and T loops). Lineage: Bacteria; Bacillati; Candidatus Dormiibacterota. RNAcentral also lists the same sequence under 2 other names. The record is from RNAcentral.
CGGGGCGUGGUGCAGGGGUAGCACGCCACUUUUGGGAAGUGGAGGUCGCAGGUUCGAAUCCUGCCGCCCCGA